GAUGAACGCUGGCGGCGUGCUUAACACAUGCAAGUCGAACGGAAAGGCUCCUGCUUGCAGGGGUACUCGAGUGGCGAACGGGUGAGUAACACGUGGGUGAUCUGCCCUGCACUUCGGGAUAAGCCUGAGAAACUGGGUCUAAUACCGGAUAGGACGAUGGUUUGGAUGCCAUUGUGGAAAGUUUUUCGGUGUGGGAUGAGCUCGCGGCCUAUCAGCUUGUUGGUGGGGUAAUGGCCUACCAAGGCGUCGACGGGUAGCCGGCCUGAGAGGGUGUACGGCCACAUUGGGACUGAGAUACGGCCCAGACUCCUACGGGAGGCAGCAGUGGGGAAUAUUGCACAAUGGGCGCAAGCCUGAUGCAGCGACGCCGCGUGGGGGAUGACGGCCUUCGGGUUGUAAACUCCUUUCGCUAGGGACGAAGCGCAAGUGACGGUACCUGGAGAAGAAGCACCGGCUAACUACGUG
This 465-nucleotide ribosomal RNA is filed under the name uncultured bacterium. RNAcentral's name for it is "partial 16S ribosomal RNA". It matches the Rfam family "Bacterial small subunit ribosomal RNA", at positions 28 to 507 of the family's 1533-position model. The record is from RNAcentral.